Molecule: unclassified non-coding RNA, 117 nt
Organism: Macaca fascicularis (crab-eating macaque)
Lineage: Eukaryota; Metazoa; Chordata; Mammalia; Primates; Cercopithecidae
Rfam family: Metazoan signal recognition particle RNA
About the family: The signal recognition particle (SRP) is a universally conserved ribonucleoprotein. It is involved in the co-translational targeting of proteins to membranes.
Source: Ensembl
GCCGGGCAUGGUGGCUCACGCCUGUAAUCCCAGCACUUUGGGAGGCCGAGACAGGUGGAUCACUUGAGGCCAGGAGUUCAAGACCAGCCUGGCCAACAUGGUGAAACCCUGUCUCUA